This 900-nucleotide ribosomal RNA is filed under the name Fusarium sublunatum. RNAcentral's name for it is "LSU rRNA". It matches the Rfam family "Eukaryotic large subunit ribosomal RNA", at positions 35 to 965 of the family's 3401-position model. Lineage: Eukaryota; Fungi; Ascomycota; Sordariomycetes; Hypocreales; Nectriaceae. The record is from RNAcentral.
UAAGCAUAUCAAUAAGCGGAGGAAAAGAAACCAACAGGGAUUGCCCUAGUAACGGCGAGUGAAGCGGCAACAGCUCAAAUUUGAAAUCUGGCUCUCGGGCCCGAGUUGUAAUUUGUAGAGGAUGCUUUUGAUGCGGUGCCUUCCGAGUUCCCUGGAACGGGACGCCAUAGAGGGUGAGAGCCCCGUCUGGUUGGAUGCCAAAUCUCUGUAAAGCUCCUUCGACGAGUCGAGUAGUUUGGGAAUGCUGCUCUAAAUGGGAGGUAUAUGUCUUCUAAAGCUAAAUACCGGCCAGAGACCGAUAGCGCACAAGUAGAGUGAUCGAAAGAUGAAAAGCACUUUGAAAAGAGAGUUAAAAAGUACGUGAAAUUGUUGAAAGGGAAGCGUUUAUGACCAGACUUGGGCUUGGUUAAUCAUCUGGGGUUCUCCCCAGUGCACUUUUCCAGUCCAGGCCAGCAUCAGUUUUCCCCGGGGGAUAAAGGCUUCGGGAAUGUGGCUCUCUUCGGGGAGUGUUAUAGCCCGUUGCGUAAUACCCUGGGGGGGACUGAGGUUCGCGCUUCUGCAAGGAUGCUGGCGUAAUGGUCAUCAACGACCCGUCUUGAAACACGGACCAAGGAGUCGUCUUCGUAUGCGAGUGUUCGGGUGUCAAACCCCUACGCGUAAUGAAAGUGAACGCAGGUGAGAGCUUCGGCGCAUCAUCGACCGAUCCUGAUGUUCUCGGAUGGAUUUGAGUAAGAGCAUACGGGGCCGGACCCGAAAGAAGGUGAACUAUGCCUGUGUAGGGUGAAGCCAGAGGAAACUCUGGUGGAGGCUCGCAGCGGUUCUGACGUGCAAAUCGAUCGUCAAACAUGGGCAUGGGGGCGAAAGACUAAUCGAACCUUCUAGUAGCUGGUUUCCGCCGAA